Molecule: transfer RNA, 72 nt
Organism: Spizellomyces punctatus DAOM BR117
Lineage: Eukaryota; Fungi; Chytridiomycota; Chytridiomycetes; Spizellomycetales; Spizellomycetaceae
Rfam family: tRNA
About the family: Transfer RNA (tRNA) molecules are approximately 80 nucleotides in length.
Source: Rfam
GGGCUUGUAGUGUAGUGGCUGCAUAUUCCCCUCCGGAGGGAAAGGUCCCAGGUUCGAUCCCUGGCUGGCUCG